This 697-nucleotide ribosomal RNA is filed under the name Arthrobacter sp. YIM 64530. Its description in RNAcentral is "bacterial SSU rRNA". It matches the Rfam family "Bacterial small subunit ribosomal RNA", at positions 72 to 781 of the family's 1533-position model. The record is from RNAcentral. Lineage: Bacteria; Bacillati; Actinomycetota; Actinomycetes; Micrococcales; Micrococcaceae.
AUCCCAGCUUGCUGGGGGAUUAGUGGCGAACGGGUGAGUAACACGUGAGUAACCUGCCCUUGACUCUGGGAUAAGCCUGGGAAACCGGGUCUAAUACUGGAUAUGACCUUCUGGCGCAUGCCAUGUUGGUGGAAAGCUUUAUUGCGGUUUUGGAUGGACUCGCGGCCUAUCAGCUUGUUGGUGGGGUAAUGGCCUACCAAGGCGACGACGGGUAGCCGGCCUGAGAGGGUGGACGGCCACACUGGGACUGAGACACGGCCCAGACUCCUACGGGAGGCAGCAGUGGGGAAUAUUGCACAAUGGGCGCAAGCCUGAUGCAGCGACGCCGCGUGGGGGAUGAAGGCCUUCGGGUUGUAAACCUCUUUCAGUAGGGAAGAAGCGAAAGUGACGGUACCUGCAGAAGAAGCGCCGGCUAACUACGUGCCAGCAGCCGCGGUAAUACGUAGGGCGCAAGCGUUAUCCGGAAUUAUUGGGCGUAAAGAGCUCGUAGGCGGUUUGUCGCGUCUGCCGUGAAAGUCCGGGGCUUAACCCCGGAUCUGCGGUGGGUACGGGCAGACUAGAGUGAUGUAGGGGAGACUGGAAUUCCUGGUGUAGCGGUGAAAUGCGCAGAUAUCAGGAGGAACACCGAUGGCGAAGGCAGGUCUCUGGGCAUUAACUGACGCUGAGGAGCGAAAGCAUGGGGAGCGAACAGGAUUAG